UUUCUCAUUGAUUCUGCUCGAGGUGCAAAUGUCUUCGAUCGAUAAAUUGCGGGGUGUCCAAGAUGAUACGUUGGGAAGGGUGUUACCGAGAUGUUUCUACUACUUGGUUCGUGUUGUUCGAUGUAAUUUGUUACAAGUGCGCGUAAUAAUUACGUGGAAAUAUUAAAUGACGGCUGUUUUCAACAUCGUAGGCGUCGGCACACACGAAUUAUCCUCGGUUCGUUCUACUCCCAUGCUCGUCAGAUUCGAAUUCUUCGAACCUUUCGUGUGAGAAUAUCUUCGAGUGGUUAUUCGUAGAAAGUUAGUUACCGAUCCGCAAAGUGUGCAAUUGAUUUGAGACACCGAGAGAUUUC
This 353-nucleotide unclassified non-coding RNA is filed under the name Bombus terrestris (buff-tailed bumblebee). RNAcentral describes it as "misc RNA ENSBTSG00005033393.1". The record is from RNAcentral. Lineage: Eukaryota; Metazoa; Arthropoda; Insecta; Hymenoptera; Apidae.